This 514-nucleotide ribosomal RNA is filed under the name uncultured bacterium. RNAcentral's name for it is "bacterial SSU rRNA". It matches the Rfam family "Bacterial small subunit ribosomal RNA", at positions 17 to 518 of the family's 1533-position model. The record is from RNAcentral.
UUAUGGCUCAGGAUGAACGCUAGCUACAGGCUUAAACACAUGCAAGUCGAGGGGCAGCAUGAUCUAGCUUGCUAGAAUGAUGGCGACCGGCGCACGGGUGAGUAACGCGUAUCCAACCUUCCCUAUAGUAGAGGAUAGCCCGGCGAAAGUCGGAUUAAUACUCUAUGUUUUCCAAUGAGGACAUCUGAGCUGGAAUAAAGGUUUACCGCUAUAGGAUGGGGAUGCGUCUGAUUAGAUGGUAGGCGGGGUAACGGCCCACCUAGUCGACGAUCAGUAGGGGUUCUGAGAGGAAGGUCCCCCACAUUGGAACUGAGACACGGUCCAAACUCCUACGGGAGGCAGCAGUGAGGAAUAUUGGUCAAUGGGCGAGAGCCUGAACCAGACCCAAGUAGCGUGCAGGAUGACGGCCCUAUGGGUUGUAAACUGCUUUUAGUACGGGGAUAAAGUGAGGGACGUGUCCCUUUUUGUAGGUACCGUAUGAAUAAGGACCGGCUAAUUCCGUGCCAGCCGCCGC